This 1708-nucleotide long non-coding RNA is filed under the name Cyanistes caeruleus (blue tit). RNAcentral describes it as "lncRNA (ENSCCEG00000003287.1)". Lineage: Eukaryota; Metazoa; Chordata; Aves; Passeriformes; Paridae. The record is from RNAcentral.
GAAAUUUUGGGGGGAAAAGUUUGGGGAUGGAAAAUUUGGGGAGGGAAAUUUUGGGGGGAAAAGUUUGGGGAUGGAAAAUUUGGGAGGGAAAUUUGGGGAGGGGAAGUUUGGGGGGAAAAGUUUGGGGAUGGAAAAUUGGGAAGGGAAAUUUGGGGAGGAAAGUUUUGGGGAUGGAAAUUUGGGAAGGGAAAUUUUGGGGAGGGAAAUUUGGGAAGGGAAAUUUUGGGAAGGGAAAUUUGGGGAGGGAAAUUUUGGGGAGGGAAAUUUGGGGACGGAAAUUUGGGAGGGGACAAAGCUUUGAGCGGGUGGAAAUGGAAAGAAGGGAAAAGGAUUUGGGAAAGGAAAGCUUCGGAGGGGAGAAGUUCCGGGAGGAAAGUGAAAGUUUGGAAGGGGAGGAAAAUUUUGGGAAAGAAAAUUUCAGGGGGAAAAUUUGGGUGGGAGGAGGGGGAGAAAGUUCCGUGUGGAGGAAAAAUUUUGGGAUGAAAUUUUGGGGCUUUUUUUUCCCCCUCUUUUUUCAGGUGACGUUCAGCGACAGCGACCCCGAGGAGCCCCAAAUCCCCCCAGAUCCCCCCAAAAACGGCCGGAAAAAUUCCUGUGCCCGGAGGGUCCGGCCCCAAAAAUCCCCCGGGAAUUCCCCGGGAAUUGAGGCUCGGCCCCGGCGGGGGCGGCCCCGGAAGGAGCCGGAAAAAAGUGGGAUCGAGCAGGGGGAAAAUGUGGAAAAGAAGGAAAAAAGGAGAAACCCCAGAAUGGAAAACGUGGGGAGAAGAGGGAUCUCAGAAAUGGAAAAUGUGGGAAAAAAUGGAAACCCCAGAAUGGAAAACGAGGAAAAAAUGGGAAACCCCAAAAUGGAAAAGAUGGGAAACCCUAAAAUGGAAAAAGAGGAAAAAAUGGGAAACCCUAAAAUGGAAAAAAUGGGAAACCCUAAAAUGGAAAAAGAAGAAAAAAUGGGAAACCCUAAAAUGGAAAAAAUGGGGAAAAGAGGGAUCCCAAAAAUGGAAAAUGUGGGAAAAAAUGGAAACCCCAAAAUGGAAAACGUGGGGAGAAGAGGGAUCUCAGAAAUGGAAAAUGUGGGAAAAAAUGGAAACCCCAGAAUGGAAAACGAGGAAAAAAUGGGAAACCCCAAAAUGGAAAAAAUGGGAAACCCUAAAAUGGAAAAAACGGGGAAAAGAGGGAUCUCAGAAACAGAAAAUGUGGGAAAAAAUGGAAACCCCAGAAUGGAAAACGAGGAAAAAAUGGGAAACCCUAAAAUGGAAAAAAUGGGAAACCCCAAAACGGAAACUUUGGAAAAGAAGGAAAAGGGAAACUCCAAGAAAAUUCUGGAAAAGAAGGAGAACAGGGCCCCGUGCCGGGAAAAGAGGGAGAGGGGGACGCCCCGAAUGGGAAUUUUGGAGGGAAAGAAAAGCUGGGAAUUUUCUGGGAUGGAGGAACGGGAUCCCCUGAGGGCCCUGGAGGAGGAGGAGGAAGAGGAAGAGCUGAGCUUCGAGCUCCCCCCGCUGCCCCCAGGUGAGUCCGGGGGGGUUUUGGGGGACCCCAAAAUUGCCUUUUCGCACCCCAAAACUGCCCCAUCCCGUGUCCUUCCUUUUCCAGGUGGGGCCGGCAAGGAAAUUCCAGGGAUUGGGGAUCGGGGGGAUCCCCCAAAUCCAGAGGGGUCCAACCCCUCUGCCCCGCCCGGUGAGCAGCUGGAAUUUGGGGUGUUCGGGGAAUUUUG